Molecule: long non-coding RNA, 449 nt
Organism: Orbicella faveolata
Lineage: Eukaryota; Metazoa; Cnidaria; Anthozoa; Scleractinia; Merulinidae
Source: RefSeq, a predicted model, not a curated record
CUUAAUUGUUUAAGUCAGAGAAAUCUUCACCACUUCUACUCAGCACUUAAAGAGGGCGCUUUGACAUCGAGCUGUGACUAUUCCUGAAAAGUGCCAAGAGAAAGUAAAACAAUGAAUUUGUGCCUGUUGCUGAUUACUUUGGGGAUUAUUACUGUGCAGGGCGCACAGCCAGAAAACCAACAGAAGUCUAUGAACCCUAAAGCCAAGCGCUAUCAUGAGCCAGAACCUUGUAGACGUUUGAAUGGUGGGGAAUGUAGACCACGCCCGAUGGAUCCAAGUGUGUGGCCAUGUCCCAAUUUUAUUUGCCCUAUGAAUCCCUGUCCAGAGUCCCAAUACACAGUGUGCUGCUGUCCUGGGUAUGAAUAAAAUACCUAACUAGUGUAGAUUCUAUCUACCAUCGUUAUAACCUCGUCAGUAAAAUUCUUGGGUCAUCAUCACAGUUAAUACAG